AAUCCAUAGGUUAAUGAGGCGAACCGGGGGAACUGAAACAUCUAAGUACCCCGAGGAAAAGAAAUCAACCGAGAUUCCCCCAGUAGCGGCGAGCGAACGGGGAGGAGCCCAGAGCCUGAAUCAGCAUGUGUGUUAGUGGAAGCGUCUGGAAAGGCGCGCGAUACAGGGUGAGAGCCCCGUACACAAAAGCGCACGUGCUGUGAGCUCGAUGAGUAGGGCGGGACACGUGGUAUCCUGUCUGAAUAUGGGGGGACCAUCCUCCAAGGCUAAAUACUCCUGACUGACCGAUAGUGAACCAGUACCGUGAGGGAAAGGCGAAAAGAACCCCGGCGAGGGGAGUGAAACAGAACCUGAAACCGUGUACGUACAAGCAGUGGGAGCCCCACCACUAAGCCAGUGGUGAACUCCACAUACGCAUCCUUUGCUGAGGAUGCGGUUAACGGAGCGAGAGCGACGUUUAACCGCAAAAGAAGCAGAGGGGGCUUAGUGGUGGGGUGACUGCGUACCUUUUGUAUAAUGGGUCAGCGACUUAUAUUCUGUAGCAAGGUUAACCGCAUAGGGGAGCCGGAGGGAAACCGAGUCUUAAUUGGGCGUUAAGUUGCAGGGUAUAGACCCGAAACCCGGUGAUCUAGCCAUGGGCAGGUUGAAGGUUGGGUAACACUAACUGGAGGACCGAACCGACUAAUGUUGAAAAAUUAGCGGAUGACCUGUGGCUGGGGGUGAAAGGCCAAUCAAACCGGGAGAUAGCUGGUUCUCCCCGAAAGCUAUUUAGGUAGCGCCUCGUGAAUUCAUCUCCGGGGGUAGAGCACUGUUUCGGCCAGGGGGCCAUCCCGGCUUACCAAUCCGAUGCAAACUGCGAAUACCGGAGAAUGUUAUCACGGGAGACACACGGCGGGUGCUAACGUCCGUCGUGAAGAGGGAAACAACCCAGACCGCCAGCUAAGGUCCCAAAGUCAUGGUUAAGUGGGAAACGAUGUGGGAAGGCCCAGACAGCCAGGAUGUUGGCUUAGAAGCAGCCAUCAUUUAAAGAAAGCGUAAUAGCUCACUGGUCGAGUCGGCCUGCGCGGAAGAUGUAACGGGGCUAAACCAUGCACCGAAGCUGCGGCAGCGACACUGAUGUGUUGUUGGGUAGGGGAGCGUUCUGUAAGCCGUUGAAGGUGGCCUGUGAGGGUUGCUGGAGGUAUCAGAAGUGCGAAUGCUGACAUAAGUAACGAUAAAGCGGGUGAAAAGCCCGCUCGCCGGAAGACCAAGGGUUCCUGUCCAACGUUAAUCGGGGCAGGGUGAGUCGACCCCUAAGGCGAGGCCGAAAGGCGUAGUCGAUGGGAAACGGGUUAAUAUUCCCGUACUUGGUGUUACUGCGAAGGGGGGACGGAGAAGGCUAUGUUGGCCGGGCGACGGUUGUCCCGGUUUAAGCGUGUAGGUGUGUGUUCCAGGUAAAUCCGGUU
Molecule: ribosomal RNA, 1445 nt
Filed under: Salmonella enterica subsp. houtenae
Lineage: Bacteria; Pseudomonadati; Pseudomonadota; Gammaproteobacteria; Enterobacterales; Enterobacteriaceae
Description: partial 23S ribosomal RNA
Rfam family: Bacterial large subunit ribosomal RNA
Source: RNAcentral